AGAGUUUGAUCCUGGCUCAGGACGAACGCUUGCGGCGUGCCUAAGAAAUGCAAGUCGAACGGGGGCUUCGGCCCCAGUGGCGAACGGUCGCGUAACACGUAAGCAACCUGCCCUGAAGUGGGGGACAACAUCCCGAAAGGGGUGCUAAUACCGCAUGUGGUCACGAGUCGGCAUCGACUAGUGUCUAAAGAUUUAUCGCUUCAGGAUGGGCUUGCGGCCUAUCAGGUAGUUGGUGGGGUAAUGGCCUACCAAGCCGACGACGGGUAGCUGGUCUGAGAGGACGAUCAGCCGGAUUGGGACUGAGAUACGGCCCAGACUCCUACGGGGGGCAGCAAUUAGGAAUCUUGCGCAAUGGGGGAAACCCUGACGCAGCGACGUCGCGUGAAGGAUGAAGGCCCUCGGGUCGUAAACUUCUUUUGAGUGGGAAGAAAUUUGACGGUACCACUCGAAUAAGCCCCGGCUAACUACGUGCCAGCAGCCGCGGUAAUACGUAGGGGGCGAGCGUUGUCCGAAGUUACUGGGCGUAAAGCGCGCGUAGGCGGUUAUUUAAGUCUGGGGUGAAAGGUUCAGCGCUCAACGUGAACAGUGCCUUGGAUACUGGAUGACUUGAGUCUGGGAGGGGGAAGGGGAAUUCCUGGUGUAGCGGUGAAAUGCGUAGAUAUCAGGAGGAACACCGGUGGCGAAGGCGCCUUCCUGGCCUAAGACUGACGCUGAGGUGCGAAAGCGUGGGGAGCAAACGGGAUUAGAUACCCCGGUAGUCCACGCCGUAAACGAUGAGUGCUAGGUGUCGGGGGUAUCGA
Molecule: ribosomal RNA, 800 nt
Filed under: uncultured bacterium
Lineage: Bacteria
Description: bacterial SSU rRNA
Rfam family: Bacterial small subunit ribosomal RNA
Source: RNAcentral